UACGAAGGGUGCAAGCGUUACUCGGAAUUACUGGGCGUAAAGCGUGCGUAGGUGGUGAGUUAAGUCUGUCGUGAAAGCCCCGGGCUCAACCUGGGAAUGGCGAUGGAUACUGGCUCGCUAGAGUGCGGUAGAGGAGAGUGGAAUUCCCGGUGUAGCAGUGAAAUGCGUAGAGAUCGGGAGGAACAUCAGUUGCGAAGGCGGCUCUCUGGACCAGCACUGACACUGAGGCACGAAAGCGUGGGGAGCAAACAAG
RNAcentral lists this ribosomal RNA (253 nucleotides) under uncultured bacterium. RNAcentral describes it as "partial 16S ribosomal RNA". It matches the Rfam family "Bacterial small subunit ribosomal RNA", at positions 524 to 776 of the family's 1533-position model. The record is from RNAcentral.